Molecule: ribosomal RNA, 394 nt
Filed under: uncultured bacterium
Lineage: Bacteria
Description: bacterial SSU rRNA
Rfam family: Bacterial small subunit ribosomal RNA
Source: RNAcentral
GUGUCAGCAGCCGCGGUAAGACGAACCGUGCAAACGUUGUUCGGAAUCACUGGGCUUAAAGGGCGCGUAGGCGGGCCAUCAAGUCAGGGGUGAAAUCCUCCAGCUCAACUGGAGAACAGCCUUUGAUACUGGUGGUCUCGAGUGAGGUAGGGGCAUGCGGAACUGAUGGUGGAGCGGUGAAAUGUGUUGAUAUCAUCAGGAACUCCGGUGGCGAAAGCGGCGUGCUGGACCUCUACUGACGCUGAGGCGCGAAAGCCAGGGGAGCGAACGGGAUUAGAUACCCCGGUAGUCCUGGCCCUAAACGAUGGGUACUAGGUUGUAGACUUGACAUGGGUUUACAGCCGAAGCAAAAGUGCUAAGUACCCCGCCUGGGGAGUAUGGUCGCAAGGCUGAA